Molecule: ribosomal RNA, 445 nt
Filed under: Solanum tuberosum (potato)
Lineage: Eukaryota; Viridiplantae; Streptophyta; Magnoliopsida; Solanales; Solanaceae
Description: rRNA SSU_rRNA_eukarya
Rfam family: Bacterial small subunit ribosomal RNA
Source: RNAcentral
UAGAAGGCCCACGGCUCGUGAACUUCUUUUCUCAGAGAAGAAGCAAUGCCUGUAUUUGGGGAAUAAGCAUUAGCUAACUCUGUACCAGCAACCACAAUAAUACAAAUGAUGCAAGCAUUAUCAAGAAUGAUUAGGUGUAAAGUGUAUAUAGAUGGAUUUUUAAGUCCGUCGUCAAAUCCCAGGGCUCAAUCCUUGACAGGCGGUGGAAACUACCAAGUUGGAGUACGGUAGGGGCAUAGGGAAUUUCUGGUGGAACGGUGAAAUGCAUAGAAAUCGGAAAGAACCCCAACAGUGAAAGCACUCUGUUGGGCCGACACCGACAGUGAGAGACAAAAACUAUGGGAGUGAAUGGGAUUAGAUACCCAGUAGUCCUAGCCAUAAACGAUGGAUACUAAGUAUUGUGCAUAUCGGCAGUACUGUAGCUAACACGUUAAGUAUCCCGCCU